UCAAACUUGGUCAUUUAGAGGAAGUAAAAGUCGUAACAAGGUUUCCGUAGGUGAACCUGCGGAAGGAUCAUUACCGAGUGUUGCGGGCCCCUCUCCGGGGGGGUCCCACCUCCCAUCCUUGUCUAUCUCUACCCUGUUGCUUCGGCGGGCCCGCCUGCGUUCCCCGUUAAGAUCCUUAGCGGGGGCCAGGCCGCCGGGGGGCCCCGCGCCCCCGGGCCCGUGCCCGCCGGGGACUCCCACUUGGAACGCUGUCUGAAGGUUGCAGUCUGAGUCCUUUUUGGAAAAAUCGUUAAAACUUUCAACAACGGAUCUCUUGGUUCCGGCAUCGAUGAAGAACGCAGC
This 342-nucleotide unclassified non-coding RNA is filed under the name uncultured fungus. RNAcentral describes it as "partial contains small subunit ribosomal RNA, internal transcribed spacer 1, and 5.8S ribosomal RNA". The stretch from base 1 to 73 matches the Rfam family "Eukaryotic small subunit ribosomal RNA", at positions 1759 to 1831 of the family's 1831-position model. Lineage: Eukaryota; Fungi. The record is from RNAcentral.